AGAGUUUGAUCCUGGCUCAGGAUGAACGCUAGCUAUAGGCUUAACACAUGCAAGUCGAGGGGAAACGGCAUUAUGUGCUUGCACAUUUUGGACGUCGACCGGCGCACGGGUGAGUAUCGCGUAUCUAACCUGCCCUUUACUUGGGGAUACCCCGUUGAAAGACGGCCUAAUACCCGAUGUAAUUCAUUGAUGGCAUCAGAUAUGAAUAAAAGAUUUAUCGGUAAAGGAUGGGGAUGCGUCUGAUUAGCUUGUUGGUGAGGUAAAGGCUCACCAAGGCGACGAUCAGUAGGGGUUCUGAGAGGAAGGUCCCCCACAUUGGAACUGAGACACGGUCCAAACUCCUACGGGAGGCAGCAGUGAGGAAUAUUGGUCAAUGGACGGAAGUCUGAACCAGCCAAGUAGCGUGCAGGAAGACGGCCCUAUGGGUUGUAAACUGCUUUUAUACGAGAAUAAUUUGAUGCACGUGUGCGUUAUUGCAUGUAUCGUAUGAAUAAGGACCGGCUAAUUCCGUGCCAGCAGCCGCGGUAAUACGGAAGGUCCAGGCGUUAUCCGGAUUUAUUGGGUUUAAAGGGAGUGUAGGCGGUUUGUUAAGCGUGUUGUGAAAUUUAGGUGCUCAACAUUUAACUUGCAGCGCGAACUGUCAGACUUGAGUACACGCAACGUAUGCGGAAUUCAUGGUGUAGCGGUGAAAUGCUUAGAUAUCAUGAAGAACUCCGAUUGCGAAGGCAGCAUACGGGAGUGUAACUGACGCUUAAGCUCGAGGGUGCGGGUAUCGAACAGGAUUAGAUACCCUGGUAGUCCGCACAGUAAACGAUGGAUGCCCGCUGUUAGCGCCUGGCGUUAGCGGCUA
Molecule: ribosomal RNA, 850 nt
Filed under: uncultured bacterium
Lineage: Bacteria
Description: bacterial SSU rRNA
Rfam family: Bacterial small subunit ribosomal RNA
Source: RNAcentral